CCUGGGAACCAGGAAAAGAGGAGCUUCUGAUAACAGAGCAGCAGGGCUCCUGAAAUCGCAGUGGAACUAGCACCUCAUGCACUCUGCAGGUGUUCAGGCAGCCAUCCUGGAGUCACCAUCCCCGAGGCAGGCAAGAAUUGGCCACUUGGGAUCUUUCAAUGUUCCCUUUUCCUCUUCUUACCUUAUAGAGUUUUCCCAGGGAGUGCCCCAGCCAAU
Molecule: long non-coding RNA, 216 nt
Organism: Alligator sinensis (Chinese alligator)
Lineage: Eukaryota; Metazoa; Chordata; Crocodylia; Alligatoridae
Exons: 3
Source: RefSeq, a predicted model, not a curated record